UAGGGAAUCUUCGGCAAUGGGGGGAACCCUGACCGAGCAACGCCGCGUGAGUGAAGAAGGUUUUCGGAUCGUAAAGCUCUGUUGUUAAGGAAGAACGAGUGUGAGAAUGGAAAGUUCAUGCUGUGACGGUACUUAACCAGAAAGGGACGGCUAACUACGUGCCAGCAGCCGCGGUAAUACGUAGGUCCCGAGCGUUGUCCGGAUUUAUUGGGCGUAAAGCGAGCGCAGGCGGUUAGAAAAGUCUGAAGUGAAAGGCAGUGGCUCAACCAUUGUAGGCUUUGGAAACUGUUUAACUUGAGUGCAGAAGGGGAGAGUGGAAUUCCAUGUGUAGCGGUGAAAUGCGUAGAUAUAUGGAGGAACACCGGUGGCGAAAGCGGCUCUCUGGUCUGUAACUGACGCUGAUGUGCGAAAGCGUGGGGAGCGAACAGG
Molecule: ribosomal RNA, 429 nt
Filed under: Bacteroidota bacterium
Lineage: Bacteria; Pseudomonadati; Bacteroidota
Description: Bacteroidetes bacterium partial 16S ribosomal RNA
Rfam family: Bacterial small subunit ribosomal RNA
Source: RNAcentral